GAUGAAGAACGCAGCGAAAUGCGAUAAGUAGUGUGAAUUGCAGAAUUCAGUGAAUCAUCGAAUCUUUGAACGCACAUUGCGCCCCUUGGUAUCCCGAGGGGCAUGCCAGUUCGAGCGUCAUUUCACCACUCAAGCCUGGCUUGGUGUUGGGCGACGUCCCCUUUGGGGACGCGCCUCGAAACGCUCGGCGGCGUGGCACCGGCUUUAAGCGUAGCAGAAUCUUUCGCUUUGGAAGUCGGGGCCCCGUCUGCCGGAAGACCUACUCGCAAGGUUGACCUCGGAUCAGGCAGGGAUACCCGCUGAACUUAAGCAUAUCAAUAAGCGGAGGA
Molecule: unclassified non-coding RNA, 329 nt
Filed under: soil metagenome
Description: partial contains 5.8S ribosomal RNA, internal transcribed spacer 2, and large subunit ribosomal RNA
Rfam family: 5.8S ribosomal RNA (bases 1-120)
Source: RNAcentral